GUUCUCUUUAGCGGUGGUGCGAAGAAGGGAGGGUUAGGCUACGAGGUCUUUUGGUUUCUGUUUAUGUGGGUUCUUGGCAACACGUUUGCAGGACUCGGUAUGUUUCAACUUGAUGGGCAUGCAGAGUAUGGGUUCCUUUAUUCUUCCCUGUGGAAUGUGAGACUAGUGGGAUGAUCAGUGGGACACAGCUCUGCUCAGUUAAAGGGAAAUUCCACUUUUUUUGCAUUACUUAAGAUGUCAGGUCAUUCAGAGUGGUUUAAUGUAAAAUACACAAUUCUAGAAAGUGUUUCACUGCAUGAAAUAAGAACCAGAAAAGUGCAUUCAUCAAUUUAGCACUGUUUUACUCUCAUAGUCCCUGUCAAAACAAAUCUUUACCUAAUUUGAAAAUGCCAGCUGUAGUUCAUGCUACCAAAUAGACCAAUAUAAAUGAUCCAGAGUGGCUGAAGUCUUGUCAACAUUAGCUUUCUUCAAACAUUAGAAUAUUUUUAUUUAGGUUUUUUCCCUGGACAUAUGAGGUUUUGUUCCAGCAAUAAUAUUACCUGGACAUGUGUAGGUUCUCUCAUCCAUCACUCUGGAUAGCAAAUAAAGUGCUUGUUUGCAUAGACACAUUGGUUCCCAACACCUGUGUUGUGUUGUAAAGAAAUGAAUGUCAAUGCACAGUUUUUUCCAUUAAACCACUCUAAAAGACAGUCUUUAUAUAAUUUGUCAGUGUACUUGUGCAAGUCUGUAACUCUUUGGUAACUUGAAUAAAAUAAAGGUUUGAUUUUCCAUGUAAA
This is a long non-coding RNA of Colossoma macropomum (tambaqui), 776 nucleotides long. RefSeq lists it as uncharacterized. Lineage: Eukaryota; Metazoa; Chordata; Actinopteri; Characiformes; Serrasalmidae. The record is from RefSeq and is a predicted model, not a curated record. The transcript is spliced from 3 exons.